RNAcentral lists this long non-coding RNA (259 nucleotides) under Vitis vinifera (wine grape). RNAcentral's name for it is "long non-coding RNA (VVIN_LNC002163)". Lineage: Eukaryota; Viridiplantae; Streptophyta; Magnoliopsida; Vitales; Vitaceae. The record is from RNAcentral.
CUCUUAAAUAUUUACAAAUAAAUGAUCUCACAAAAUCCUAGUACAAAAACUUUAAGCUCAAAUUAUACAAGAAAACUAGGAUUGAAUGGUGCACUAAAGAUAUGCAAGUUUUAGAACAAUAGUGCACUAAAAAACACUCUUCCAAGACUCAAAUAUAUUCAAGAAAGGUUUAGGAAGGUUAAGCUCUUGAAACAAUGAAGAUUGGAGCCUUUUUAUAGAAGAAAAAAGUCAAACUAGCCGUUGAGGGUUCGACCGAUUG